AUCCUUUUGUGUUUCAUAAAUGUGAGGAUUGGGUUCUCACAUGUGAGUUGUGUGAGAUGUGCUUCCUUCAAACCCUGUUACAACAUCCAUACAUACCGUGUCUGUCA
Molecule: small nucleolar RNA, 107 nt
Filed under: Chlorocebus sabaeus (green monkey)
Lineage: Eukaryota; Metazoa; Chordata; Mammalia; Primates; Cercopithecidae
Description: Small nucleolar RNA U13
Rfam family: Small nucleolar RNA U13
Source: Rfam by way of RNAcentral